GUGCUCGCUUCGGCAGCACACAUACUAAAAUUGGAACGAUACAGAUAAGAUUAGCAUGGCCCCUGCACAAGAAUGACACGCAAAUUUGUGAAUCGGUCCAUUAAAAA
Molecule: small nuclear RNA, 107 nt
Filed under: Sorex araneus (European shrew)
Lineage: Eukaryota; Metazoa; Chordata; Mammalia; Eulipotyphla; Soricidae
Source: RNAcentral